GGUGGGGUUUGAUAUUUGGAUUUAGUGACCCUAUCAUGUAUCGUUCCAUUUGACGAUUAAUAAAGAGUGUUCUAUUUUGUUUACCAUUAUGUUUUAUACUAUAUUUUUUGUUCCAUUAUAUAUGGGUUUAGGGUCUAUACUUGGGUUUAGGGUCUAUAUUUGGAUUUAGUGAUUAAGAUUUAGGGUUUAGCGAUUAGCAAUUAGGUUUUAGUAUUUGGAAGGUGGGGACUGAAGUUUGGGUUUAGUGAUAACUGUUUAGGGUUUAGUAUUCAAAAGUUAGGUAUGAGUUUAACAUUUAAGAGUUGUGUGUUGGGUUAGUCAUAUACUAUUUCUCAUAUGAAAUGAAACCAUCCUUUUAUUUUUCAUUAUGCACUAAAUUCAUUUCAGUUUCUACACCGUUAAUUCAUUUAUUUAUUUCAUGAAACCACAUCACUAAUCUAAUUUAAAAUUGUAUGUGGUAAUAAACACAAGUUACGUGUAUGUCAUCCAUAUCUCUCAUUCUGAACAGUUAUCUAUUAAAGUG
Molecule: long non-coding RNA, 523 nt
Filed under: Brassica napus (rape)
Lineage: Eukaryota; Viridiplantae; Streptophyta; Magnoliopsida; Brassicales; Brassicaceae
Description: long non-coding RNA (BNAP_LNC005107)
Source: RNAcentral